UACGUAGGGUGCAAGCGUUGUCCGGAAUUAUUGGGCGUAAAGAGCUCGUAGGCGGUCUGUCGCGUCUGCUGUGAAAAUCCAGGGCUCAACCCUGGACCUGCAGUGGGUACGGGCAGACUAGAGUGCGGUAGGGGAGAUCGGAAUUCCUGGUGUAGCGGUGAAAUGCGCAGAUAUCAGGAGGAACACCGGUGGCGAAGGCGGAUCUCUGGGCCGUAACUGACGCUGAGGAGCGAAAACAUGGGGAGCGAACAGG
RNAcentral lists this ribosomal RNA (253 nucleotides) under uncultured bacterium. RNAcentral describes it as "partial 16S ribosomal RNA". It matches the Rfam family "Bacterial small subunit ribosomal RNA", at positions 524 to 776 of the family's 1533-position model. The record is from RNAcentral.